This 495-nucleotide ribosomal RNA is filed under the name uncultured bacterium. RNAcentral's name for it is "partial 16S ribosomal RNA". It matches the Rfam family "Bacterial small subunit ribosomal RNA", at positions 28 to 507 of the family's 1533-position model. The record is from RNAcentral.
GACGAACGCUGGCGGCGUGCCUAAUACAUGCAAGUAGAACGCUGAAGGAGGAGCUUGCUUCUCUGGAUGAGUUGCGAACGGGUGAGUAACGCGUAGGUAACCUGCCUGGUAGCGGGGGAUAACUAUUGGAAACGAUAGCUAAUACCGCAUAAGAGUAGAUGUUGCAUGACAUUUGCUUAAAAGGUGCAAUUGCAUCACUACCAGAUGGUCCUGCGUUGUAUUAGCUAGUUGGUGGGGUAACGGCUUACCAAGGCGACGAUACAUAGCCGACCUGAGAGGGUGAUCGGCCACACUGGGACUGAGACACGGCCCAGACUCCUACGGGAGGCAGCAGUAGGGAAUCUUCGGCAAUGGACGGAAGUCUGACCGAGCAACGCCGCGUGAGUGAAGAAGGUUUUCGGAUCGUAAAGCUCUGUUGUAAGAGAAGAACGAGUGUGAGAGUGGAAAGUUCACACUGUGACGGUAGCUUACCAGAAAGGGACGGCUAACUACGUG